UACAGAGGGUGCGAGCGUUGUCCGGAAUCACUGGGCGUAAAGGGCGCGUAGGCGGCUUGAUAAGGUUGCGGUGAAAGCCCGGGGCUCAACCCCGGGUCGGCCGUGGCAACUGUCGAGCUGGAGCACUGUAGAGGCAGGUGGAAUUCCGGGUGUAGCGGUGGAAUGCGUAGAGAUCUCCAAGAACACCCGUUGCGAAGGCGGCUAGCUGGGUUCACAUUGACGCUGAGGCUCGAAAGCGUGGGGAGCAAACAGG
This 253-nucleotide ribosomal RNA is filed under the name uncultured bacterium. RNAcentral's name for it is "partial 16S ribosomal RNA". It matches the Rfam family "Bacterial small subunit ribosomal RNA", at positions 524 to 776 of the family's 1533-position model. The record is from RNAcentral.